Long non-coding RNA from Neltuma alba, 459 nucleotides. RefSeq lists it as uncharacterized. The transcript is spliced from 2 exons. Lineage: Eukaryota; Viridiplantae; Streptophyta; Magnoliopsida; Fabales; Fabaceae. The record is from RefSeq and is a predicted model, not a curated record.
GGGGGAAGAAACUUCCAGACCCUGAAACUUGAGACCUUAGCUUCAUUGCUCCUUCUAUCAUCGCCGGUGGUCCAUGAUGUCGUCGUCGGUGAUUACGUCGUGUGCCUGUCUGCCGUCGCCUUCCUCCCUUUUUCAGAUUUCGGUUCGCUGUUCCUCCUUCUUACUCUGUUCAGCAUUCUGAUUCGUUCUUCUCCUCAACUGGCAUUGUGAUUUGCUGGAACUUGAACCACCCUGCUGGAGUUUUGCUGCACUUAGCUGUUCUUAGCCUUACACUGGGUAUGUGCUCUUGGACAUAGCUUUGAGCUGAGUUUGUGCAUGAUAGUUAGUAACUUCAAUAAUCAGAUUCACUUGGGAGGGAUUUGUGAAAACCCUGUACCUUAUUUGAAUGCGAGUGACUAGUUAUGUAUAUCUCUGAAACUUAAUUAAACUUGUUGGAAUUUCUAGACCAAAAUUUUGUUG